AAGAGGUGCUUAAGUCAUGAGGGCUCCAGCCUAAUGAACUGAUUAAUGUUGUUUUUGUGGGAGUGGGAUAAAAUAAUGAGUUUGGCCCCCUUCCCACGAGUUCUCUAAUUCUUACCUUCUUUUGCCCUUCCUCCUUUCACAGUGAAAUAAAACAGCAAGAAGAUCCUCUCCAGAUAAGUGGGCCUCUCGACCUUGGACUUCCCAGCCUGCAGAACUGGCCCGUUACUGUCAGAUUCCGGCAGUUGACCCUGGUGAUUUCACAGCAGCAAGCACUGCAGGCGUUCCCAACACACAAGGCAAACUCUGUAUAUGGGCUUACCACCCACAGAUCCAGCUGUCUGUCAUGUCGUUCCCAUAUUGAAGGAACAUAACCUGUUGUUAAGCCAUUUCAGCCCUGGAAUAAGGAAAGUUUCCAAAAUGCAAUCUUUGAGUUUGGAAAAUGGCAUUUGAGAGGUAUAAAUAAAGCUAAAUUCUUAUAGAACUUAAA
Pan troglodytes (chimpanzee) is the source of this 487-nucleotide long non-coding RNA. RefSeq lists it as uncharacterized. The record is from RefSeq and is a predicted model, not a curated record. Lineage: Eukaryota; Metazoa; Chordata; Mammalia; Primates; Hominidae. The transcript has 2 exons.